This 583-nucleotide long non-coding RNA is filed under the name Mytilus galloprovincialis (Mediterranean mussel). Lineage: Eukaryota; Metazoa; Mollusca; Bivalvia; Mytilida; Mytilidae. The record is from RNAcentral.
GUUGGGGCAAGUAUGGACAAAACAUUCUAGCGUGAUACAGCUCUGAAUUUGGAUUGUGAUCAAAUUUUUGACAUUACAUGGUUUUUUUUACACAAAACAAAUGUCAAGAUUUUACAAAUUUUACAAUUAAAGAUUUCUUCUUCAAACUUUUUAAAUCUAAAAUUAAAUAGUUGACACAGCAUAGGUUUCUGACACAGAAUGAAUGUGGUCUAAUGAACUUAAAAGUUUGUUUUUGCCUUUUAGCAAUUCACUAUGCUGUUGAAUAUUAAUCCUCUCAAAAAAAUGUUUGAAGAAAUUUUCUUUUUAUUUAUGAAAUCUGAAAUGAGAAAAAUUUUACCCCCCCCCCCCUUUUUCACAUCCCCGUUUCCCUUUUUCCAAAACUGAUAUCAAUUCAAAUUUCUAAUGGAGUUUGCAACAAUAACUACUCUUUUAAAUACAUCAUAAAAUAUUAAAAUGUAAAAUAAAGUGCUUGUUAUCACUGAAUGGUAAAGAUUGGUUGGUAGUAAAAGUGAAUAUACAUUGUUUAUUGUAUAAAACAAUAAAAAAAACUUCAUCAGCAACAUUUUAUAUUGGCAAAUUUCCA